RNAcentral lists this transfer RNA (72 nucleotides) under Ipomoea nil (Japanese morning glory). It matches the Rfam family "tRNA". From Rfam's summary of the family: Transfer RNA (tRNA) molecules are approximately 80 nucleotides in length. Their secondary structure includes four short double-helical elements and three loops (D, anti-codon, and T loops). The record is from Rfam by way of RNAcentral. Lineage: Eukaryota; Viridiplantae; Streptophyta; Magnoliopsida; Solanales; Convolvulaceae.
GGUUCCAUGGUGUAGUGGUUAGCACUUUGGACUUUGAAUCUAGCGACCUGGGUUCAACUUCCGGUGGGACCU